RNAcentral lists this long non-coding RNA (1923 nucleotides) under Citrus sinensis (sweet orange). RNAcentral describes it as "long non-coding RNA (CSIN_LNC002287)". The record is from RNAcentral. Lineage: Eukaryota; Viridiplantae; Streptophyta; Magnoliopsida; Sapindales; Rutaceae.
GAAAGAACUGAUAAGUCUAUUUUCGAAUUAGUUAUUUGAUGAUAUAAACAAUCUAAUUUAACUUGACGAAUGUGACUUGAAACAAGAACUGAAUUAAUUAAUACUUACAUGAAUCAACUCUAUUGGAGGCUAAGCGUUUUGAGCUUAGUAGGGUGGUGGUGGAGAUGCAUAAUUGUAAACUGGUGGUGGAGGUGACUUCACAGGUGGGGGAGGAGAGUGGUAGUAGUAUGGAGGUGGUGGGGAUGGUGAUGGAGGUGGUGGGGAUUUGUAGUAGUACGGUGGUGGAGGCGAGUAGACUGGUGGGGGAGGAGAGUGGUAAUAGUACGGAGGUUGAGGAGAUGGUGACGGAGGUGGUGGGGACUUGUAAUAGUAUGGUGGUGGAGGUGAGUGGACAGGUGGGGGAGGAGAGUGGUAAUAAUAUGGCGGUGGAGGAGAUGGCGACGGAGGUGGUGGGGAUUUGUAGUAGUAGGGCGGGGGAGGAGAGUGGACUGGUGGUGGUGGGGAUUUGUAGUAGUAUGGAGGUGGAGGUGGAGGUGAGUAGACUGGUGGUGGUGGGGAUUUGUAGUAGUAUGGAGGUGGAGGUGAGUGGACUGGUGGUGGCGGGGAUUUGUAGUAGUAGGGUGGAGGAGGAGAGUGGACUGGAGGUGGCGGGGAUUUGUAGUAGUAUGGUGGUGGAGGCGAGUAGACUGGAGGGGGUGGUGACUUGUAGUAGUAAGGUGGCGGAGGUGAGUAAACGGGAGGAGGGGGUGACUUGUAGUAGUAAGGUGGUGGAGGUGAGUAGACUGGUGGUGGAGGUGAUUUGUAAUAGUAUGGGGCAGGUAUGUGGACUGGCGGUGGUGGUGACUUGUAAUAGUAGGGAGGUGGAGGGGAUGGUGAAGGUGGUGGUGGAGACUUGUAGUAGUAUGGCGGUGGGGGUGAAUAGACUGGUGGUGGAGGUGAUUUAUAAUAGUAUGGAGGUGGAGGAGAUGGCGAUGGAGGUGGCGGAGAUUUAUAGUAGUAAGGUGGUGGAGGAGAGUGGACUGGUGGUGGAGGUGAUUUGUAAUAGUAUGGCGGUGGAGGAGAGUAGACUGGUGGUGGAGGUGAUUUAUAGUAGUAUGGCGGUGGUGGUGAGUGGACAGGUGGUGGAGGUGACUUGUAGUAAUACGGUGGAGGAGAAGAAUAGACCGGUGGUGGUGGAGAUUUAUAAUAGUAAGGUGGUGUCGGAUACUUUAUUGGAGGUGGAGGGGAUUUGUAAUAAUAGGGUGGUGGUGGUGAGGGUGAAGGAGGUGGUGGAGAUUUAUAGUAAUAUGGUGGUGGAGGUGAGUGGACUGGAGGUGGUGGAGAUUUGUAGUAGUAUGGUGGAGGUGAGUAGACAGGUGGGGGAGGAGACUUGUAAUAAUAUGGUGGUGGAGGUGAGUAGACCGGUGGUGGUGGGGAUUUAUAGUAGUAUGGUGGUGGUGAAUAAACCGGUGGUGGAGGAGACUUGUAGUAGUACGGUGGGGGAUGUGAAUAGACUGGUGGAGGUGGAGACUUAUAAUAGUAUGGGGGAGGAGAGUAAGUUGGUGGCGGUGGAGACUUAUAGUAAUAUGGUGAUGGAGAUGGUGGUGGCGGAGACUUAUAGUAAUAAGGCGACGGUGGGUAUUUUACAGGAGGUGGGGGAGAUUUAUAAUAAUAAGGUGGUGGGUAUUUCACAGGAGGUGGUGGAGACUUGUAAUAAUAUGGUGGAGGUGGAGGAGACUUAUAAAUGUAAGUUGGUGGUGGUGGAGGCGGUGACUUGUAGUAAUAAGGAGCGGGGGUAGGCUCAGGCUUGGGCUUCUCACAUUCCUCAUAAGGAGUCUUAGGAGCAUAAGCAAAUGGCUUGGCGUAGAGCACAACUUCAUAAUCAGUCUUCGACUUGACUUUAAGUUUGGCUCCCUUUUUACCCCAGUGCAAGUCAGUGGGAAU